GGCUCGGUAGCUUAGUUGGUAAAGCACUCGUCUAGCAAACAUGAGUCCUGGAUUCGAAUCCCAGCCGAUCA
This is a non-coding RNA of Aedes aegypti (yellow fever mosquito), 71 nucleotides long. NCBI's taxonomy places the organism in Eukaryota, Metazoa, Arthropoda, Insecta, Diptera, Culicidae. The record is from Rfam.